This 253-nucleotide ribosomal RNA is filed under the name uncultured bacterium. RNAcentral's name for it is "partial 16S ribosomal RNA". It matches the Rfam family "Bacterial small subunit ribosomal RNA", at positions 524 to 776 of the family's 1533-position model. The record is from RNAcentral.
GACAGAGGUGCCAAGCGUUAGGCGGAAUCACUGGGCUUAAAGCGUGUGUAGGCGGAUCGUUAAGUACCUUGUGAAAUCCCACGGCUCAACCGUGGAACUGCUGGGUAUACUGGCGAUCUUGAGCCACCUAGGGGCGAGCGGAACAAGCGGUGGAGCGGUGAAAUUCGUAGAUAUUCGCAAGAACACCAGUGGCGAAGGCGGCUCACUGGCCCGAUACUGACGCUGAGGCACGAAAGCGUGGGGAGCAAACAGG